This 468-nucleotide ribosomal RNA is filed under the name uncultured bacterium. RNAcentral's name for it is "partial 16S ribosomal RNA". It matches the Rfam family "Bacterial small subunit ribosomal RNA", at positions 28 to 507 of the family's 1533-position model. The record is from RNAcentral.
GACGAACGCUGGCGGCGUGCUUAACACAUGCAAGUCGAACGGAAAGGCCCUGCUUUUGUGGGGUGACCGAGUGGCGAACGGGUGAGUAACACGUGAGUAACCUGCCCUUGACUUUGGGAUAACUUCAGGAAACUGGGGCUACUACCGUAUAGGAGCUCCUGCUGCAUGGUGGGGGUUGGAAAGUUGCGGCGGUUGGGGAUGAAUGGGGGGCUGACGGCCUUGUUGGUGGGGGAGGGGCUUACCAAGGCUUGGACGGGUAGCCGGCAGGGGAGGGUGGCCGGCGACAUUGGGCCUGAGAUACGGCCCAGACUCCUACGGGAGGCAGCAGUGGGGAAUAUUGCACAAUGGGCGGAAGCCUGAUGCAGCAACGCCGCGUGCGGGAUGACGGCCUGCGGGUUGUAAACCGCUUUCGCCUGUGACGAAGCGUGAGUGACGGUAAUGGGUAAAGAAGCACCGGCUAACUACGUG